AAAAUUUUAGUUUAAACAAAACUUUUUUCUUACAAAAAAAUAUUAAUUUUAUUAAAAUUAAAUUUUA
RNAcentral lists this transfer RNA (67 nucleotides) under Trichomalopsis sarcophagae. Its description in RNAcentral is "tRNA-Val". Lineage: Eukaryota; Metazoa; Arthropoda; Insecta; Hymenoptera; Pteromalidae. The record is from RNAcentral.